This 293-nucleotide ribosomal RNA is filed under the name uncultured microorganism. RNAcentral's name for it is "partial 16S ribosomal RNA". It matches the Rfam family "Bacterial small subunit ribosomal RNA", at positions 505 to 796 of the family's 1533-position model. The record is from RNAcentral.
GUGCCAGCAGCCGCGGUAAUACGAAGGGGNGCUAGCGUUGCUCGGAAUUACUGGGCGUAAAGGGAGCGUAGGCGGACAUUUAAGUCAGGGGUGAAAUCCCGGGGCUCAACCUCGGAAUUGCCUUUGAUACUGGGUGUCUUGAGUAUGAGAGAGGUAUGUGGAACUCCGAGUGUAGAGGUGAAAUUCGUAGAUAUUCGGAAGAACACCAGUGGCGAAGGCGACAUACUGGCUCAUUACUGACGCUGAGGCUCGAAAGCGUGGGGAGCAAACAGGAUUAGAUACCCUGGUAGUCC